Molecule: long non-coding RNA, 2350 nt
Organism: Armigeres subalbatus
Lineage: Eukaryota; Metazoa; Arthropoda; Insecta; Diptera; Culicidae
Exons: 3
Source: RefSeq, a predicted model, not a curated record
ACGCAAUUCCCAUUAUAUGCUCUUUUGGAUCAUUUUCCUUUCACGUGUUGAAUGAUGGUACCCAGUCCUUAAUCUGGCUGGUCCGCUGUAAUCGAACCUUUUCUACUUUGAUUGAAGGUUCCCCCAAACACACGCGACGCGACAGUCGCGACGCGAUUCUAUCGCUUGGCGACAGCGAUUCUGUCGCCGUUGGUAUGGAAGCGUAAAUAGAACAUUGCCUGCAGCGACCCAGCGAUAGAAUCGCGGCGACUACUUGUCGCCGUCGCGGCGAUGAAAUCGCUUAGGUCUGGGGGAGCCUUGAUUCUCCUGGUUAUGAGUACCUGAGUUUGACAAUCGACGUCCAGAAUCCAGCUUCUGAUCAGGUGAGUGCCGAAGGAGUGUUGUAAGGGUCUCUGACAGUGCAACUAGUAAUAAGCGACCCCGUGCUCGGCAGUAUUUCCCAAACGAAUUUUCCCAUUGAGCAGCCAGGGGCUUACAAGUUACGUUUUCAAAGUUGAUAGAAAUCAAUUACAUUUAAGAGGUGAAGACGGCGAUAUAGAUCUUAUUGACGCUGAAAGUAAAUGUAAGGCCCUAUUUAUUAGAAAUAUUCUUUAUGAUAGUUCCGGAGACAAUUAAAAUGAAGAGUAUUUACUGCGGUCAGAGUGUUUGACUAAGGUGUCAAGAAAUGCUGAAGAAUGGGUGUCAGAAGCUAAAGUUUUAAAGGAAAACUUUGCUUUGAAAUCGGUUAGGCUAUUGUACUGGUACUUUGUUAAAAAAAACACCAUUCCCAAAGCAGAAAUGAACUACCCUCUGGUUCCAUGAUCUCGUUCCCAACAAAGAAAAAAUAUUAAGCUACGGCAGUGGUCCCCAGCAUGCGUAUUAUCUAGGGCCACAUAGCAAUUUUGAACUGUUAAGGUGAAGCGUUGUGACACUCAAAUUGCUAUGUGUUUGUAUCAUAAAAAUCAUCAACCAUGGAUUUGUAGUGGUGGAAACUUCCAAUACCAAUUCAGUAAGCAUACACGUGGGAUUCAUUUUUUGUUAACAUCCGACAACAGUAAACAUUGCACGCAUUCGGAAGAAUUCAGCCCAACUUAGAAACAGUAUCAAUCAAUACAGUCUAAGUAUGGGAUUAACUGAUGGAAUUUGCCAGAAAAGCAUCAGUUUUUCUUUGGUUUAGGUAAAUAUUUAUGAAUGUGUUUUCACGAUGCUGGCUGUUUACACGCUUACAUUGGUUUACCUAUUUAUGGGUACUAUAUUUACUCAUAUAUGGGUAAAUGCGAUUAUGCCAAUAUUAUUAGUAAAAUUUACCCAAAAAAUCAGUAAAAUUUACUGAUGUUUUGAAGAAAUCGAUUCUACCUAUAUUUGAGUAAUCGCAGUCACCCAUAUUUGGGUGAAAAAAUGAAAAUAAAUAAAUAAACAAAACCGAACUGAUGGCCGCCUCGUCAAUGUCGUGGUCGACGCAAGUUUAUAAAUUUUCCUUUUUUUUUCAUUGUUCGAGCAGCCAAAGUCGGUAUCCAUUGAUUUGGGUACCUAGUUCCGAGUGUUCUUCAUAUGAGGAUGGAACCUCGGUCGGAACUGUACGACUAUCUCCAGUUCCGGCCAAAAGCACGAUAUCGACCUCCUUGCAUGCGGCAAAGAACGAAACUAGUUCCCGAACCAUCGGUGGAGAUUUUGUUGUGAGCCCCUGACCCCAAACGGUUUACCUUAUUCUUCAGAAGUGCCAGUGUUUCGGACUGUUUUGCAACAGUUUCAGUUAGCUCUAGUGAUGCAGAGUAAUCGUGAGAAAACGAGAUCGGUACAACAGCCAUACAAUUCGGAGGACAUCCGCUGGAAACAAUGACGACACCCAACACAGAAUUCCCAAGUUACUAGAAAAUCCAUUGGACGCAAAUAGAUUUCUGGACAACUCCAACAGAAAGAACUUGACGAUAUUAUUUACAACAUGCUGUCUCGUCUUGUCUUGGUGUUUCCGAUCAUCAUUUUGGAAGUGCCAUCAUGGUAACGACAACAGAUUCUGUUAAUUCGAGAAGUAAAGGGAUGCGGUGCUGUGCUACUAUCCUAUGAUGCUGCUGACAAAACAUCCGAAAAGAUUGGAUUGAUCACCAGUUGACAUGCCGUCAAACUCCAGACCAGCAUUGUGCUUCUGUUGUCUGUGGUUCCGGUGCUCCUUUUGUUCCAUACUAGACGCUGCCGCUGAGGGAUGUUCGUGUAUAGUGUUAUCUGUUCCUGCUGAUGAUUUUACAGUAGCAGCCAAGCAUCCGGCAACAUGAAGAUUUAAAAAAUUAAAUCAUACUAUAUAAUGAAAAAUUUAGAACACGAAUUCAAAUAAAAUAGAUAUUUAACUUUAUAUUUAUUUAUAUAACCAAUCAAA